This 496-nucleotide ribosomal RNA is filed under the name uncultured bacterium. RNAcentral describes it as "partial 16S ribosomal RNA". It matches the Rfam family "Bacterial small subunit ribosomal RNA", at positions 28 to 506 of the family's 1533-position model. The record is from RNAcentral.
GAUGAACGCUGGCGGCGUGCCUAAUACAUGCAAGUUGAGCGAACGGACGAGAAGCUUGCUUCUCUGAUGUUAGCGGCGGACGGGUGAGUAACACGUGGAUAACCUACCUAUAAGACUGGGAUAACUUCGGGAAACCGGAGCUAAUACCGGAUAAUAUUUUGAACCGCAUGGUUCAAAAGUGAAAGACGGUCUUGCUGUCACUUAUAGAUGGAUCCGCGCUGCAUUAGCUAGUUGGUAAGGUAACGGCUUACCAAGGCAACGAUGCAUAGCCGACCUGAGAGGGUGAUCGGCCACACUGGAACUGAGACACGGUCCAGACUCCGACGGGAGGCAGCAGUAGGGAAUCUUCCGCAAUGGGCGAAAGCCUGACGGAGCAACGCCGCGUGAGUGAUGAAGGUCUUCGGAUCGUAAAACUCUGUUAUUAGGGAAGAACAUAUGUGUAAGUAACUGUGCACAUCUUGACGGUACCUAAUCAGAAAGCCACGGCUAACUACGU